This is a non-coding RNA of Cricetulus griseus (Chinese hamster), 1912 nucleotides long. NCBI's taxonomy places the organism in Eukaryota, Metazoa, Chordata, Mammalia, Rodentia, Cricetidae. The record is from RefSeq and is a predicted model, not a curated record.
GAUGUUGCUUGGUCAAACCCUCCCAUUGGGUGGGUCAGCUCCACUCAAACUACACAGAAUGGCUGAGUGUGGGGACAAGGACAAUGAAUAUAGAGCUUGAAGGAGAGAAAUGGACCCUGGGGAAAGAAGAAAAUCGGUGCCCACUUCCUGCCCACUUCCCAGGAGGAAAGCACAUAACCCAGCAGACAGUGAGAUGAGUCAGGAUGACUCCUUUACCACUGCUCCAAAAGAGAAACUACAAAGCAGCAGGUUUCACUAUGACGCUGAGAAUCCUUCUUUCAAGCUGUCAGCCAUCAGAAGUCGAUCCUGCCAUCAGCUGAAGCAGAUGCCGUAUCCAGGGGAUCAGAAGGUGUUGAUUGGCCAACGCGGAGUCAUGUCCUUGUCCUUGCCCUGUCUACAUUAAAGGUGGGGGUCAGCCCCACCCGCACUGCAUAGCUCUCCUGGCCCAUAGAUACCAGUAUCCCAAUUCUCAACAGAGGCCUGAGCUCAGCCAAGGGACCAGCACCUCACAGCUCCUGCUGAUCUCCAGGUAGCCGAGGAGAAGAGGGGUGCAGCAAGCAAGCUCAUCCUUGAGGUGACUUGGUUUUAGGUAUCUGUGAGUUAUCCAUUGUCCACAGAGCCUCCCCGACCUUCACUGAGCACAGUGAAGGUCCUCCACGUGGUGUUCAAUUGGCUACAUCUGUUUUUUCCUGCGUCUCUCAGGAGGAGGGGUUUCAGGAGCCCCAGAAGUGACAUUCUCCAUUCAAGCCAGGUCCAGCUAAGCAAGUACCUGCCAUGCCUGGACCAAGAGCCUCAGCCCAUGGACUUGGGUUCCUGGGACAUGAGAUGAGACCAAGGCCCUCUUUCUGGCUUCGGGAAGCCUACUCCAGACCUUUGGGAGCCACCUAGCCUCUCUGAGGCCUCUAGAGCCCGAGCACUGCUAGAUUGGGGUCCUAGUACCUGCUACGUUCUAGAUGCUUCAGAAGAGGCCCAGGCAGGUACUACAGGCCCAUAGGAGCUGCCAGGUGUGCCCGGGUCUCUCCCCAUAUCCCUGGCCCUGCCCAUUCUCAUCUCUAGAUAUGCCCCUGGUAUGGCUGUGCAGAGCUUUGGAUUUCCGCCUGGGGACAGGAAGCAGAUAUAAGAUGAGGCCCAAGCAGUGGGGAGUCUCAGAAUCAAGGGCUGGAUCUCAGACAGACAUGGCGCCUGCAUGAGAGAUAUAUGGACUGGGGUCUCCCAGCCUGGCUAAGCCCACAGGCAUCAGGGGACAGUAGAGAGGUGACCAGGACUUCCUUAGCCACCAGAAAGUGAUUCAGCUAAAUUGAGGAAGGCUUCCGUUUCGGCAGAAUACAUUUUCCACUAUGGUAAGAGCUUUUCACCCACGGGCUGUAGAAGAGCAAAGCCCUCCAGAGAGAGGUUUGGAGAGUUUCGGUUUGAAUAGUCAGUGCUGAUUCUUAAUCAUUAGUUUGAAGAGGCAGUUCUUGGUUUUCCAGCAGGUGGCUGGGGCUCGGGGCAGUCAAGUUAGGUGUGCCUGUGAAUGCGUGUCUACACACCAUGUGAGCUUUUGUGACUUGACCUUGGAGGCCAGGAAGGGAGGCAGUCAUGAUCAUUCCUUUGGUCAGUGGUGAGGCCUGUACAGGUCUGCGGAACAACCUGGGCUCUCUACCCUCACCACCCUGCCACGAGAGCCAGCAGCUACACCGAGAGUUCGGUGUGUGCCAGGAGGCAGGCUGGGUGCUUACUCACAGCCUUGGGAACCUACCUAUCAGUUGAGGUUCUGAGGGAGGAAAAUACCAGUCAACACUCAGCCCAAUGUGCACCCAGGCAGCCUAAUAGCAUCAAAGUCCUCCCAACAGCCACCCUACCUUCAGAUUCUCCUGUGCCUGCCGUCCCUGGCAUCUCUGGCACCACCCAGGGUGCACUACAUUGAAGCCAG